Molecule: long non-coding RNA, 218 nt
Organism: Haliotis rubra (blacklip abalone)
Lineage: Eukaryota; Metazoa; Mollusca; Gastropoda; Lepetellida; Haliotidae
Exons: 5
Source: RefSeq, a predicted model, not a curated record
GGACCAAUGCUUGAGAUUUCAAGGCACAGUUUAUCUUGUUCACUCAUCUUAUCUGUACAAUGACAGAUGGUAUGGAUGAGUAAGUCUUUGAAGCGUGACUGACACAGCUCACAUAUGCCUUGUGCACCUCCUGGGCGCCAUGAUGCACAUAGCUUGACCACAAAUUUGCAUUCAUGUUUAAGAUGUGGGAAUUGUGUCAAGACAGAAAGUUGAAUUGA